GCUUAUUAUUCACUGCCCUCCUGUACUUAUCACGUCAGUGUAAUGACUUAUUUUGAUAAUAGCGAGAGAGAAAAUGUAAUAGACUAUUAAACUUAUCCUGAAUUCCCUCCCUAAGACGGCGGUCGUUGUUCGUAAAGAUGAAAAACCUUUACAGUUGUACGUCAAGUAAGCAUUAUUCUUCUGAUAUAGUUUGGUGUACCUAAGGUACAUUUACUAAAACUGUACCUGCACGGUUCUGGGGAAGGCUAACACAGGCUUUUAAGAAUGGGUAAACUAGCUAGUGACUAUUUUAAUUAGUAAUGUAAUUACUAGCUACAUUACGUACAUAAAGACUUGCAUAUGCUCUUUUAAACUUGUUAAAAACAAUGAGCCUGUGCCUUUUUAUACUACUUUUCUGUGUGUUUUUCCCCCCUCAUAUACAGAUUCUCUUUUAGUUAAUGAACAGUCAUGUCAAAAAUGACUCGCCUCUGUUCUUGAAUGACUUUACUGUGCCAGCAACUGAUAUCUCUUAAGAGACUGUAGCAUUAGAGAAACGUCACAUUGCAUACUGUGUCAUGGGUUGUUUGACUUCGUUUAUGGUCUAAAGGCUUUGCUCUGCAGUACUUUUCUUGUAGGCGGUGGAAAAUUGGCUACAAUGCGAAUCAAUCACUAACGACCUGAUGCCCAGUGAUUUGUUGCUGUACAGUCGUACUUACAGAAAGUCACAUGAUAGCAAUCCAAAAGGGAAUGUUCAACCCAAAGCAAUUACCGGGGAAACAUUGGGAAAACCUGAAAUCAGUUACAUUAGCGGCACCUGUUCUUACUUGGGGGUCUCCAGCACUCACCAAAGCCGCGGCACAGCUUAUCUACAGGAAUCUGGAGCGGGUGGAAUCCAAGAGGGAACUGGAGAUUUUUCAGGACCAAAGCGGGGCCGGAGCGCUACUUGCUGAACUCUGGUUGGAGUAUAAGGGCAGAUCAGGGCCAUAAGAAUAUACCCCGCCGUCCUCAGCCCAUCUGUUCCUGCUUGGCCUCUCGAGCUCUCCAUCAGGUAGGCCUGAGCCAUUGAGUGCUCCUUCAACUCAUGGCAUCUGAAUAAGCCAGGCAGAGGAGUGUAUGUGUGUGUGUGUGUGUGUGUGUGUGUUUGCACAUAUGCACCUGCACAAGGUCUUUUUUUAAUGUACCGUCUACAGUGUUUGAUAAAUAGGGGCCUU
This 1190-nucleotide long non-coding RNA is filed under the name Oreochromis niloticus (Nile tilapia). RNAcentral describes it as "lncRNA (ENSONIG00000037962.1)". Lineage: Eukaryota; Metazoa; Chordata; Actinopteri; Cichliformes; Cichlidae. The record is from RNAcentral.